CCCCGUGUGGCUCAGUUGGUAGAGCAUGGUGUUUGCAACGCAGUUGGUAGAGCAUGGUGUUUGCAACACCAGGGUUGUGGGUUCGAUUCCCACGGGGG
This is a non-coding RNA of Salmo salar (Atlantic salmon), 98 nucleotides long. NCBI's taxonomy places the organism in Eukaryota, Metazoa, Chordata, Actinopteri, Salmoniformes, Salmonidae. The record is from Rfam.